Molecule: ribosomal RNA, 400 nt
Filed under: uncultured bacterium
Lineage: Bacteria
Description: bacterial SSU rRNA
Rfam family: Bacterial small subunit ribosomal RNA
Source: RNAcentral
GUUUGAUCCUGGCUCAGAUUGAACGCUGGCGGCAUGCUUUACACAUGCAAGUCGAACGGUAACAGGCCUUCGGUGCUGACGAGUGGCGAACGGGUGAGUAAUGCAUCGGAACGUGCCCAAUCGUGGGGGAUAACGUAGCGAAAGUUACGCUAAUACCGCAUAAGCCCUGAGGGGGAAAGCAGGGGAUCGCAAGACCUUGCGCGAAUGGAGCGGCCGAUGUCAGAUUAGCUAGUUGGUGGGGUAAAGGCCUACCAAGGCGACGAUCUGUAGCGGGUCUGAGAGGAUGAUCCGCCACACUGGGACUGAGACACGGCCCAGACUCCUACGGGAGGCAGCAGUGGGUAAUUUUGGACAAUGGGCGCAAGCCUGAUCCAGCCAUGCCGCGUGCGGGACGAAGGCC